GCGAGGGUGGUGUAGUGGUUAAGAGCUGUAGACUUGUAAUCUGAUGAACCGGGUUCACAUCCCCGCUCCUCCACAUGCA
Molecule: non-coding RNA, 79 nt
Organism: Podarcis lilfordi (Lilford's wall lizard)
Lineage: Eukaryota; Metazoa; Chordata; Lepidosauria; Squamata; Lacertidae
Source: the annotation of a GenBank genome assembly